RNAcentral lists this small RNA (155 nucleotides) under Pelobacter propionicus. RNAcentral describes it as "c-di-AMP sequence". It matches the Rfam family "c-di-AMP riboswitch aptamer (ydaO/yuaA leader)". From Rfam's summary of the family: This family represents a conserved RNA structure found upstream of the ydaO and yuaA genes in Bacillus subtilis and related genes in other bacteria. The ydaO/yuaA element is thought to act as a genetic "off" switch for the ydaO and yuaA genes in its native state. The record is from RNAcentral. RNAcentral also lists the same sequence under 1 other name. Lineage: Bacteria; Pseudomonadati; Thermodesulfobacteriota; Desulfuromonadia; Desulfuromonadales; Desulfuromonadaceae.
ACCCCCAAACAGCCGAGAUCCAUUUUAAUGAAUGGAUACGGGGGACCCGAUCAGUCGGGGCGCAUUCCGCAUGGGGAAAGAACAUUUUCACCCGGAAAGAGAACUUCCACUCUCUAGCCCGUCAGCUAACCUCGUAGGCGAUUGGAAGGGCAACG